GGACUUUAGCCUUCAAAGCGGGUGAUGCAAGGCAGAAGAAGGCGCAUGUGGAGCGGCUUUGGAGGGCUGGCUUCCUUAGCUAACUCACUUGCAUUUAAGGGCACUUAGUUGUCAACGCCGUGGCAGAAUUCGGGUUACUAUGAGCAUCAGGCCUCCCAUAAU
This is a long non-coding RNA of Puntigrus tetrazona (Sumatra barb), 162 nucleotides long. RefSeq lists it as uncharacterized. NCBI's taxonomy places the organism in Eukaryota, Metazoa, Chordata, Actinopteri, Cypriniformes, Cyprinidae. The transcript has 3 exons. The record is from RefSeq and is a predicted model, not a curated record.